This 253-nucleotide ribosomal RNA is filed under the name uncultured bacterium. RNAcentral's name for it is "partial 16S ribosomal RNA". It matches the Rfam family "Archaeal small subunit ribosomal RNA", at positions 474 to 727 of the family's 1478-position model. The record is from RNAcentral.
UACCCGCAGCCCAAGUGGUGUUCGUUAUUAUUGGGUCUAAAACGUCCGUAGCCGGCUUAGUAAAUUCCUGGGGAAAUCGAACGGCUUAACCGUUCGAAGUCCGGGGAGACUGCUAGGCUUGGGAUCGGGGGAAGUUCGAGGUACUUUUGGGGUAGGGGUGAAAUCCUGUAAUCCUAAAAGGACCACCAGUGGCGAAGGCGUCGAACUACAACGAAUCCGACGGUAAGGGACGAAGCCCUGGGGCACAAACGGG